UACAGAGGUGGCAAGCGUUGUUCGGAAUUACUGGGCGUAAAGGGCGCGUAGGCGGCUUGGUCAGUCCCGUGUGAAAUCCCUCGGCUCAACUGAGGAACUGCACGGGAAACUGCCUGGCUUGAGUUCGGGAGAGGGAAGCGGAAUUCCGGGUGUAGCGGUGAAAUGCGUAGAUAUCCGGAGGAACACCGGUGGCGAAGGCGGCUUUCUGGACACUAACUGACGCUGAGACGCGAAAGCGUGGGGAGCAAACAGG
Molecule: ribosomal RNA, 253 nt
Filed under: uncultured bacterium
Lineage: Bacteria
Description: partial 16S ribosomal RNA
Rfam family: Bacterial small subunit ribosomal RNA
Source: RNAcentral